RNAcentral lists this ribosomal RNA (497 nucleotides) under uncultured bacterium. RNAcentral's name for it is "partial 16S ribosomal RNA". It matches the Rfam family "Bacterial small subunit ribosomal RNA", at positions 28 to 507 of the family's 1533-position model. The record is from RNAcentral.
GAUGAACGCUGGCGGCGUGCCUAAUACAUGCAAGUCGAGCGAACAGACGAGGAGCUUGCUCCUCUGACGUUAGCGGCGGACGGGUGAGUAACACGUGGAUAACCUACCUAUAAGACUGGGAUAACUUCGGGAAACCGGAUCUAAUACCGUAUAAUAUAUUGAACCGCAUGGUUCAAUAGUGAAAGACGGUUUUGCUGUCACUUAUAGAUGGAUCCGCGCCGCAUUAGCUAGUUGGUAAGGUAACGGCUUACCAAGGCAACGAUGCGUAGCCGAUCUGAGAGGGUGGUCGGCCACACUGGAACGGAGACACGGUCCAGGCUCCUACGAGAGGCAGCAGUAGGGAAUCGUCCGCAACGGGCGAAAGCCUGACGGAGCAACGCCGCGUGAGUGAUGAAGGUCUUCGGAUCGUAAAACUCUGUUAUUAGGGAAGAACAAAUGUGUAAGUAACUAUGCACGUCGUGACGGUACCUAAUCAGAAAGCCACGGCUAACUACGUG